GACGAAGGUGGCGAGCGUUGUUCGGAAUCACUGGGCCUAAAGCGCACGUAGGCGGCGACGUAAGUCGGGUGUGAAAUCCCUCGGCCCAACCGAGGAACUGCGCCCGAUACUGCGUUGCUUGAGGAUCAGAGGGGUGCACGGAAUUUCCGGUGGAGCGGUGAAAUGCGUUGAUAUCGGAAGGAACGUCGGCGGCGAAAGCGGUGCACUGGCUGAUUUCUGACGCUGAGGUGCGAAAGCCAGGGGAGCAAACGGG
This 253-nucleotide ribosomal RNA is filed under the name uncultured bacterium. Its description in RNAcentral is "partial 16S ribosomal RNA". It matches the Rfam family "Bacterial small subunit ribosomal RNA", at positions 524 to 776 of the family's 1533-position model. The record is from RNAcentral.